AUGAAACCAGCAGAUGAGAACUACAGUCAAAUCACAAUUAAAAACCCAUUUGGAUUCAUAGAUGAUUCUGACACUUUUUCCCCCUCCCGUCCCUAUGCAACACUUAGCAACUUUUACGGCUGGCAUCGUCUCGUGCCAAGAACAGUGAGGAUGCUCCGGGGGAGAACCAGCGGCUACUUUCUUCUGGUGUCGGUUGAGAAGGGAAGGGCUGAGUACCCCCAUUUAUUAGCUUCUCAUUACAGCAUCAAGCGUUAUGAAAUGGCCAUCUGCGGAAGGAUCGAUGAAGGAGCUACAAGCCAAUGUGUACAAUUCCCGAGAUAUUCCAAGAUACCUGUAACAGCUCUGGAUGCUGAUUUUUUGCCAGUGCUAUUUGACGAUUUGAUCUGACUAAUCUGAAUUUGCGGGCGUGUAUUGCAUGGAGCACUGGGUUUGAUGCAUAAACAAUGAAUCUUGGAACACUGAAAAAAUAAAAUAAACUUUAAAUAUAAAAAAAAGUCA
Molecule: long non-coding RNA, 498 nt
Filed under: Neogale vison (American mink)
Lineage: Eukaryota; Metazoa; Chordata; Mammalia; Carnivora; Mustelidae
Description: Neovison vison (American mink) lncRNA (ENSNVIG00000020640.1)
Source: RNAcentral